GUAUUGAUUGCGUGUGACCGCAAAAAAAAAAAGAAAAGAAUAACAUUCUACACUGUAUCAAGUUUUAUGUGAAGACGCAAGCCCUCCUUGCAUAAGGAGGGCCCACGCGGUGAUGCACAAGGGGGGUGAGAUGGAUUGUGUGAGAGUGUGCUUGAGCGUGCACAACCUUUUGGAAGGUCAGCGACAGCCCUCACACCUCGGUUGUACGAUAAUGAUCCUUCCGCAGGUUCACCUACGGAAA
RNAcentral lists this unclassified non-coding RNA (241 nucleotides) under uncultured fungus. Its description in RNAcentral is "sequence contains ITS1". Lineage: Eukaryota; Fungi. The record is from RNAcentral.